GAACGCUGGCGGCGUGCUUAACACAUGCAAGUCGAGCGGAAAGGCCCUUCGGGGUACUCGAGCGGCGAACGGGUGAGUAACACGUGAGCAACCUGCCCCUGACUCUGGGAUAAGCCCGGGAAACUGGGUCUAAUACCGGAUACGACCGCCCCCGGCAUCGGGUGGUGGUGGAAAGUUUUUCGGUUGGGGAUGGGCUCGCGGCCUAUCAGCUUGUUGGUGGGGUAGUGGCCUACCAAGGCGACGACGGGUAGCCGGCCUGAGAGGGCGACCGGCCACACUGGGACUGAGACACGGCCCAGACUCCUACGGGAGGCAGCAGUGGGGAAUAUUGCGCAAUGGGCGGAAGCCUGACGCAGCGACGCCGCGUGGGGGAUGACGGCCUUCGGGUUGUAAACCUCUUUCAGCAGGGACGAAGUUGACGUGUACCUGCAGAAGAAGCGCCGGCUAACUACGUGCCAGCAGCCGCGGUAAUACGUAGGGCGCAAGCGUUGUCCGGAAUUAUUGGGCGUAAAGAGCUCGUAGGUGGCUGG
RNAcentral lists this ribosomal RNA (530 nucleotides) under Nonomuraea jabiensis. Its description in RNAcentral is "bacterial SSU rRNA". It matches the Rfam family "Bacterial small subunit ribosomal RNA", at positions 31 to 582 of the family's 1533-position model. The record is from RNAcentral. Lineage: Bacteria; Bacillati; Actinomycetota; Actinomycetes; Streptosporangiales; Streptosporangiaceae.